Molecule: long non-coding RNA, 942 nt
Organism: Mesocricetus auratus (golden hamster)
Lineage: Eukaryota; Metazoa; Chordata; Mammalia; Rodentia; Cricetidae
Exons: 2
Source: RefSeq, a predicted model, not a curated record
GACAAAAUACCAGACAUGAUCAUCUUAAAGAAUGAAGAGUUGAUUUUGGCUCAGAGUUCUAGGGUGGUGGGACCUGGAAGCAGCUGGUCACGUGUCUGCUGCAGGGAGCAGGGAGAGAUGAAAACAGCAUCUUAGCCUUCCCAUCAGCCUGGGACCGCAGCCCAUGAGAUGACAGUGCCUCCUUUUAGGGAGGGCCUUCCUGUUUCAAAGGACCACACCUAGAUCAUCUCCCAGACAUCCCAGAGCUGACGGCCAAGAACAACUGUCACAGUUCUGUUUCCUGGUCCAUUGAAGGGAGACCCUACCUUCAAGCAAGUGGCCUGAGUCAUCUUUAGAGCGUCCGGUGCCAUGCCCGGGCCUGAACUCAGGGUGUGCUUUGUGUCAUCUUUAUGAGCUGUGUGACGCUGCUGGGUACACAGGACCAGCAGAAGGGAGACUCUCACGGUUCCUAAGAAGGCUCCCCUGAAAGACGCCGGGCGUCAUUCUAAAAGGACUUGUGGGACAGUGCUAUCCAGUCAGUCAGCAUGUGGUUCUGGUGGUCCCCUGCAGGUACCUAGGCUGGGAGGCUAUGUUGAUUUGCCUCCCUGCAGAUGGAUUUCAGAGGCCAAGCUGCUCCUUCCAGAGACUGCAUGGGACACCCCCCCCCCCCCACCAUCAUGACAGAGUCCAGGCUCAGAAUCCUGAUCUCCAAGGCAAUAAACACAGCUAAUGCUUCCUACCCUGAUGGUGUAGUAUGCCAGGGGCUCAUGAGACACUGUUUCCCCAAAGAACUCAAACAGCAAUGAAAUAUUUGAUGAUAUAGUUUCCGGAAGAUCUACUCCCGAGAGAGCCUGUCUUCGGAUGAUUGCCAGCUGCUUCUGUGCCAGGGCUGCCUUCCUUGGGGACCAUCAACAUAUGGAACUUGUUUUUAAUUUAAAAUAAAGUAGACUCCCCAGUCCCCUA